RNAcentral lists this ribosomal RNA (465 nucleotides) under uncultured bacterium. Its description in RNAcentral is "partial 16S ribosomal RNA". It matches the Rfam family "Bacterial small subunit ribosomal RNA", at positions 28 to 507 of the family's 1533-position model. The record is from RNAcentral.
GACGAACGCUGGCGGCGUGCUUAACACAUGCAAGUCGAACGGAAAGGCCCUGCUUGCUGGGUACUCGAGUGGCGAACGGGUGAGUAACACGUGGGUGAUCUGCCCUGCACUUCGGGAUAAGCCUGGGAAACUGGGUCUAAUACCGGAUAGGAGCCAUUUUUAGUGUGAUGGUUGGAAAGUUUUUUCGGUGUAGGAUGAGCUCGCGGCCUAUCAGCUUGUUGGUGGGGUAAUGGCCUACCAAGGCGGCGACGGGUAGCCGGCCUGAGAGGGUGGACGGCCACAUUGGGACUGAGGUAAGGCCCAGGCUCCGACGGGAGGAAGAAGUGGGGAAGAUUGCACAAGGGGCGCAAGCCUGAUGCAGCGAGGCCGCGUGGGGGAUGACGGCCUUCGGGUUGUAAACGCCUUUCGCUAGGGACGAAGCUUUUUGUGACGGUACCUAGAUAAGAAGCACCGGCUAACUACGUG